UACAAAUAUGUAGAAGAAAGCAGUAGGAAUCAAAAUCAGCUAGACUUUGUGAAGCGUUCGGCUUUCUCUCUUUCCUCUCUCUUGCGAUUAACUCGCCACCACUAAAACAACCAAAAUAAAACCGUUAACCACCGUAAUAUAGCCAGUAGCCACCGUUUUACGACGGUGAUGGUCACCGGAAACCACCAUUAAAAUUCUUUCAUAACCAAAAAUCAAGAUCCGAAUGCCCCUAACAGUGUUUUCUCAUCAGAUUCAAAGACCCUUUGUUAAAUUUUGCUACUAAGCCACUUUGUUUCACCUGUUACUAAGACACCGUGUUAUCAAGAUACAAUCUCUAAGACACUUUGGUUACCAAUUGCUACUAAGACUCCUUGCUAUUGCCAUCCUUGGUUCGAAGACCCCUUGAUUAAUUCGGAGUUUCAAUGAUCUUUUUUCAUAUCUAAAGUCACCGGAAUCCCCCCUUUUUCCCAUCUUAUCUGCUACUCUCUUUGUCUUAUUUUUUGUCUUUUAUUUUUGGAUUCUGCUACUGCAAUUUUUACUUAUUUAAAAUUGAAUAUAUUGAUUUUGGACUUUGAUUCCUCUAGAAUUAAUUCUAAUUUAAUUUAGAUUGCUUACUGUUUAAGUUAAAUUUUCGUUUUUUUUAAACCUAAAUUCUGUAGUGGUUCUUUACCUUAGCUGAUCCUUCCUUAGGCUGUCCUCUCUUUAUCUUGUUGCCUUUAUUUGAUUGGUUUCAAUUUAUAUCUUGCCCUGUUAGCUAUUUUCUUUUGAUCUCCUCUUAGUUAAUCCAUGAAGUUUGUUAAAUUCUGCAAAAGGAAAUUAAAAUCUCUUUCAAGUCUAAUGCACCCGAUUCCAGGUACCUCUCGCUACAACUAGAAAAAAAAAAAGGAAACUAUUGCAAAAACCAGGGAGGAUUCAAAGAAGUUCUCAAAUCACUCCGCUGUGUACUGAUAAGGUAAUAGAUCCAGCCCCCAGUUGCUUUUCUUCAGUUCACCAAGCUGGUGAUUUGGAUCAUUGUCUUGCCUUGAAAGGCUUCUCAUGCUUUACUGAGUCAGAGAAGCAAGAGGUUUCUUUAUUGAUAGUACAUCAAUAGAAGAACUAGAAAAAGCUGGAGCAGAAGCUGCUUUCCAAUGGGUAACAUGUUGGAGUGGCCACAGAAUCUCCUUCAGAAGUGAUUCAGAACCAACUCUGAUGCUGCUGGUGGGAAUGUACGCAGAAGCUCGACGACAGCGUUACCUGAUCAGCGAAGAUUUUGGAAAUACCAAAAACUUUGAUAUAAACUUUUUAGCCCAAGAUUUUACUUUGGUUAUAAGAAAUGAUGUAAUAUGGGCAGCAAGCCUUUCUUCUUUUUGCAAAAAGUAUGAAAUUAACCACAACUGGGUGGACUUUAGCCUAAGGGCUUUAAUUAUCUAUUUGAACAUACAACCAUGGAAUGAGAAUGUAAUGAAUGCUUGUAACUCCAGUUUUGGAGUUACUGAACAGCAACAAUCAAUAUAUUGAUGUAUACCUCUUUUUUUAUAAAAAAAAAUAAUCAAAAUCA
This is a long non-coding RNA of Papaver somniferum (opium poppy), 1537 nucleotides long. RefSeq lists it as uncharacterized. NCBI's taxonomy places the organism in Eukaryota, Viridiplantae, Streptophyta, Magnoliopsida, Ranunculales, Papaveraceae. The transcript has 2 exons. The record is from RefSeq and is a predicted model, not a curated record.